This 4040-nucleotide unclassified non-coding RNA is filed under the name Eurytemora carolleeae. RNAcentral's name for it is "importin-7". Lineage: Eukaryota; Metazoa; Arthropoda; Copepoda; Calanoida; Temoridae. The record is from RNAcentral.
ACUAAAAUUAGGUCCCCUUCCACUCAUAUUGGUGAACAUGUAGUAAAAAAUUGUUAUUUCAGAAGGAAAUGGACACGAAACAGUUGGCGGAGCUUCUAAAGGGCACUAUAGACCCAAAUCAUAGGAAUGAAGCUGAGAAGAAACUAACCGAGCUUCACAAGAUUAUUGGGUUUGGCCCCCUGGUCCUGCAGAUAGUGAUGGGUCAGGAUAUAGAGUUACCGGUCAGACAAGCUGCAGUCAUCUAUCUCAAGAACAUGGUGAGCACGAACUGGAAGGAACGUGAACCUGAUGCUCCUGGAGCUCCUGUACCCUUUUCUAUACAUGAACAGGACAGAGCUGUCAUCCGGGACAAUAUUGUGGAAGCUGUAGUUCACGCUCCAGACAUCAUCAGGGUCCAGCUGGCGGUUUGUGUCAGUCAAAUUGUGAAGCAUGAUUUCCCGGGGAGAUGGCCUCAAGUAGUGGAUAAAGUGUCCAUUUACCUUCAAAAUCCAGAACCCUCAGGUUGGAUGGGAAGCUUGCUCUGUUUGUACCAGCUGACUAAGAACUUUGAAUACAAGAAGACUGAGGAACGGAAACCUUUAACUGAUGCUAUGAAUCUUCUUCUUCCUCAAAUAUACACCUUAAUGGUUCAGAUGAUGCCUGACGACAGCGCAGACAGUGUAGCAGUUCAGAAACAGAUAUUAAAGAUAUUCUUUGCUCUCACCCAGUAUGUUCUACCGUUAGACCUUAUUUCAAGAGAAGUGUUCAGUAAUUGGAUGGAGAUCUUGAGACAGUUGGCGGAGGUCGAUGUUCCUGCUCAUACUCUACAGGCUGAUGAAGAGGACAGACCUGAAUUAAUCUGGUGGAAAAGGAAGAAGUGGGCUCUUCAUACCCUUACAAGACUCUUUGAGAGGUAUGGUUCACCUGGAAGUGUUACAAAGGAGUAUAAGGAGUUUGCUGAGUGGUUUCUUAAAACCUUCUCCGGUGGAAUUCUAACAUCUAUGCUGACAAACCUUGAUCAAUACAGGCAGAAGAUUUAUGUUUCUCCGAGGGUGAUGCAACAGGCGUUGAAUUAUAUUAACACCGCUGUAAGCCAUUCCCACUCCUGGAAACUAAUCAAACCCCACAUGCUUCAGAUUAUUCAGGAUAUUGUGUUCCCACUGAUGUCUUACAGCGAACAAGACGCAGAACUCUGGGAUUCGGAUCCGUACGAGUACAUCAGGAUCAAAUUCGAUAUAUUUGAAGAUUUUGUUUCUCCUGUAACUGCAGCGCAGACAUUGUUGCACUCAGCUUGCAAAAAAAGGAAGGAGAUGUUACAGAAGACGAUGACACUUCUUCUUCAGAUCAUUCAGGCGCCUGGGACGAAUCCCAGUCAGAAGGAUGGAGCCCUCCACAUGAUUGGAACAAUGGCCGAUAUCCUGUUAAAGAAACCAAUGUAUAAAGAGCAGAUGGAGAAGUUCCUGGUUGAGAUAGUGUUCAGGGAGUUCGGGUCUCCACACGGACACCUCAGGGCUCGUGCAUGUUGGGUGCUCCACUAUUUCUCUGACGUGAAGUACAACAAUGAGACGGUUCUUAGGGAAGCUUUCAGGCUCACUGUCCAUUGUCUUCUUCAUGACAGUGAAGCACCAGUCAAGGUUGAGGCUGCUAUAGCUGUACAGAUGAUGUUAACUAGUAAAGGAGAGGCAGCAAGGCAAUACCUUGAACCUCAAAUACGAGAAAUUACUCUGGAACUCCUUAAGAUUAUCAGGGAGACAGAAAACGAUGAUCUGACGAGUGUGAUGCAAAAAAUAGUCUGUACUUACACAGAGCAGUUGGUUCCAGUUGCUGUUGAUAUCUGCCAACAUCUUGUGGGAACAUUUGCUCAGGUUCUUGAAGCAGCUGACAGCGGAGAUGAGAAAGCUAUCACUGCCAUGGGUCUUCUUAACACCAUGGAGACCAUCCUCGGAGUCAUGGAGGAGCGAGCAGAGGUGCAUGCUGCCCUGGAACCUGUAGUACUGCAGGCAAUUCAUCAUAUAUUCACAAACUCAAUUAUGGAAUUCUAUGAGGAGGCCAUGUCUCUGACCUGUGAUCUCACAACUAAGGCCAUUUCUGAAAACAUGUGGAAAAUGCUGGAGGUGAUGUACACUGUAUUCCAGAGAGAUGGAGUGGACUAUUUCACCGAUAUGAUGCCAGCUCUUCACAAUUAUGUAACUGUUGACACAGUGGCGUUUUUGUCUACCCCAGACUACAUGAUGGCGAUGUACAACAUGGCUAGAACUAUGCUUGAGAGUGAUCCAGGGGAGGAUCCAGAAUGCCAUGCUGCUAAAUUGUUGGAAGUUAUAAUUCUCCAGUGUAAAGGACUAAAUAUAGAUCAGGUUAUCCCGAUCUUUAUUGAAUUGGUGCUGAAAAGGUUGACCAGGGAAGUUAAAACAUCAGAAUUGAGAACAAUGUGUCUCCAGGUGAUAAUAGCAGCCAUGUAUUACAAUCCUGUACUUCUGGUGGAUACCUUGGAUAAAAUGGGAGAAAACGUUUUCGCUCAAUUUAUUCAACAGUGGAUUCAUGACACUGACUGCUUUAUUGGACUCCAUGAUAGAAAGAUUUGUGUGCUGGGUCUUUGUCAUUUGCUGCAAAUGCCAGAUAAACCUGCAAUAGCUGCUACUGCCCAGCAAUUGGUUCCUUCAAUUAUUCUUCUUUUUGAUGGGCUCAAGAGAGCUUAUGCAGCAAGGAAUGAGGAUGAUUCUGAUGACGAAGAUGAUGAUGAGGAUGGAGAGGAUGGAGUCGAUAAUGAACUGCUGGACUCCGAUGAAGAUGAAUUAGAUGAUGACGGACAAGUGUAUUUAGAAAGUCUUCAGGAAAAGGUGAAGAAGGCUGGAUCAGCUGAAGGGUUUAAGAUAACUGCAAGUAUCGAGGAUGCCGAGGAUAGUGAGGAUGAUCUCUCUGAUGAUGAUUACGACGGCUGCGAGGAAACUAGUCUGGAGGCCUAUACCACACCAUUAGAUGACGAGGAAGGAGAAAAUGUUGAUGAAUACAACAUUUUCAAGGAGGUUCUUGGGUGUAUUCAAACUACUAAUCCAUCCUGGUAUCAUCAGCUUACAUCUCAUCUAUCCGAGGUUCAAGGUAAAGCUUUGACUGAAGUGAUCACCCUGAGCAACCAAAGGCUGGCUGAGAGGGAAAGUAGAAAAAUUCAACAACAAGGAGGAUAUCAGUUUAAUCAACAAGUUGUUCCAGGACAAUUCAACUUCGGAGCCCCUGCUACAUCACCCUUUGGAAAAUAGACUCAAAAUUCAUAAUUUCUCAAUAGUUUAAAAAUAUUUUCCGUAAACUCAUCUCCCGAAUCAAUAAUUUCCUUUCAAUAUUGUAGACUUUAAAAAUAUCUUUUGGAAAAAUUUAGAAUUUUGUGUAUUUAAAACAAGUUUAGAGAAAGUUUGCAGCUUAAACAUGUAGUGCUUCAUGUCCUUAGUAUUUGAUACGCCUCCAUUUUACAACCAGUCUUUAUUUGCAUUGUUUUGGAUAUUUGCUGAAAUGAGAGUUUAUAAACGAAAUCAACUUAGACAUUUGUUUUUGUCAAAACGCUACUUGAAUUAAGGUUCUUGAAUUUGGGUUUUAUUUUAAAAGGGGGGGGGGAGUCAGCUAACUAAUUAUCUGAUCUGUGACACGUCGAUUGUCAAUUGUCGAUUGUCGAUUAAAUCUUAAGUCUUUUUGUGAAUCUAAACCAUUUAAAUCCUCCGUCAAGUCUAGCAUGAAUUAAAAGAAAUCUAGCUGAAUACCUGGCUCUAUUUACCCUGUAUGCAAUGUCCCCUGCGUCAAAAUGUAUCCUGUCUUCUGUGAUAAUAAUGUAUAAAGAGGUGCCACUGCCCACUGUUCAAAGCAGACGAUCUAAGGGGGUUCUACUUUCAUAGAAUCUGUCAUAAAAAAUAUUUUUUAUUCGUUGCUUGGACCAUGCGCCGUCCGAACAAGAAUCAACAUAAAAAAUGAAAAAUUGAGAUUUUAUUUAAAUUGUUUGCUUUUUUGCGCGUGUGCACCUCUUGUCAAAUGUCUUGUCAUAUAUUAUGUAUUUUUCUGAAAUAUAUUUUUUAAUCUUC